This 187-nucleotide long non-coding RNA is filed under the name Macaca fascicularis (crab-eating macaque). RNAcentral describes it as "lncRNA (ENSMFAG00000058519.1)". The record is from RNAcentral. Lineage: Eukaryota; Metazoa; Chordata; Mammalia; Primates; Cercopithecidae.
GUGGAUGGGCUAAAUAAAUUUUCUUUCUGACUUCCAAUAACGUUUUGUAAGGUUGAACCCAAGGGCUCGGUCUUUGUCACAAACACUGGGUGGUUUUUCCACCAAGCUCGCUGAGAAAGUGGAAUUCCAGAGACACUCCUGAAAUUGUCCUAAGUUAAAGGAGCCAGUGUGCCAGCUCCCUCUCUGC